Molecule: unclassified non-coding RNA, 22 nt
Filed under: Dictyostelium discoideum
Lineage: Eukaryota; Evosea; Eumycetozoa; Dictyosteliales; Dictyosteliaceae
Source: RNAcentral
GUAUUGUUGCUACCUGAUGCAU